GACGAACGCUGGCGGCGUGCUUAACACAUGCAAGUCGAACGGUGAAGCGCCUUCCUUUCUGGUGGGUGUGGAUGAGUGGCGAACGGGUGAGUAACACGUGAGUAACCUGCCCCCUUCUUCUGGAUAACCGCAUGAAAGUGUGGCUAAUACGGGAUAUUCUGGGUCUGUCGCAUGAUGGGUCUGGGAAAGAUAUUGUUUCGGUGGGGGAUGGGCUCGCGGCCUAUCAGCUUGUUGGUGGGGUGAUGGCCUACCAAGGCGGUGACGGGUAGCCGGCCUGAGAGGGUGGACGGUCACACUGGGACUGAGACACGGCCCAGACUCCUACGGGAGGCAGCAGUGGGGAAUAUUGCACAAUGGGCGCAAGCCUGAUGCAGCGACGCCGCGUGAGGGAUGGAGGCCUUCGGGUUGUGAACCUCUUUCGCCAGUGAAGCAGGCCUGCCUCGUUUGUGGGUGGGUUGACGGUAGCUGGAUAAGAAGCGCCGGCUAACUACGUG
RNAcentral lists this ribosomal RNA (494 nucleotides) under uncultured bacterium. Its description in RNAcentral is "partial 16S ribosomal RNA". It matches the Rfam family "Bacterial small subunit ribosomal RNA", at positions 28 to 507 of the family's 1533-position model. The record is from RNAcentral.